RNAcentral lists this long non-coding RNA (1196 nucleotides) under Phaseolus vulgaris (common bean). Its description in RNAcentral is "long non-coding RNA (PVUL_LNC000677)". The record is from RNAcentral. Lineage: Eukaryota; Viridiplantae; Streptophyta; Magnoliopsida; Fabales; Fabaceae.
AGAAUACCACUGGGUAAUCCACUAAGCAAUCAAACCAGAUUACAAAACACAAACCACCAAAGUAGUAACCUUGAACCCUUCAAGAAACACACUAGCUUUGGCAAAAAACACCAAGAGUAUUGAUCUUGAAUGCCUCAAGAACACACAAUACUCCUUGGUAACACACCACCAGAAAUACAAUAGGUUUAGAAAGGAUUACACCUGAUCACAGUACAAACUGAAUUGAAUACAAUUGCAAUCCUAUUCCACUCUAUCUUGAAAACCCAAAGCUUAAUGUGAAUCUCGAAAUCUUAGAAUCAAUUAUGUCAAACUCAAUUUCUCAAAACUUUUUCUUACUCAUUUGAGAACAUAAACAAACCAUUUAUAUUUUUCAAAGAUUGGUCAAAGCAAUUAAUGAAGGAGCGUAUUCAGUUGGAAAACAUUUAAAGCAGAUUCACCAUUCAAAACUGAAUUCUGUUAGGAUUUUCAAAGAAACAAUCGGUUGAAACCACAAAACAACCGAUUGUUUGGCUUGACAGUUAAGUCAACCAAACCAAAAUAGUUUUCAACCUUUUUCAAAACUCCUAAGAGUAAAACAACCGCUUGAUUCGACAAAACAACAGGUUGUUUUUCACUUAGUUGGAAAAACACUUGAUUUAACAUCAGUUUUAGAUUCAACAGAGGAGUGGAUCACACUUUAUUCUACCCAGAUCCCACCCAAACACAGAGCAACACCAACCUUUCAUCAAACACCUUGAAUUUGGAUUCUUCAAAGCGCAUGAUCACUCUUGAUCAACAAUCUCCCCCUAUUUGAUGAAGACAAAUCCUUGGUUGCUUGUGUUGAUCUUGAUUGAAUCUGAAACACCACCUGCAAAAUAAAAGAACUAUGCAAUCUAGAGCAUCUCUCAUAGCAGGUUAUGAUGGCACAAAAACUAGUUUUCUACAUAGCCAUAACAGUAGAAAAAUCAGCCCAAAAACUAAGCUAAAACAUACCAAACAACAACUCCAUACCAAACCAGAAUGCAGCAGAAAUUAAAAAACAUAGCUAUGCAGUUUAAGACAACACAUAAACCAUAUUCUCCCCCUAUUUGUGCCAUCAUAACCUGCUAUGAGAGAUUCUCUAGAAGAGUUGAAAACAUAAUAGUCCAAAAUAAAGCAAUACACACAUAGAAAGAACAACAAAGACUUGUCUUCCAAGCUUCACAAUCGGUUGUUUC